Rhipicephalus sanguineus (brown dog tick) is the source of this 377-nucleotide long non-coding RNA. RefSeq lists it as uncharacterized. The transcript has 3 exons. The record is from RefSeq and is a predicted model, not a curated record. NCBI's taxonomy places the organism in Eukaryota, Metazoa, Arthropoda, Arachnida, Ixodida, Ixodidae.
CGUUUGCCUUGAUCCUGGAGGCGGCCUUCUCCCAUUGCCGAGGAUUUGAAGCGAACUCCUGGCAGAUCAGAAAUGUUCAGGCGAACGGCGGUUAUAUUUGUCCGUGGACCCAAGACUUCGUUGACGGGCAAAUAUGUCAGAUUUUCUUGUUUUUUAUUUGUGGCAUCUUAUUGUAAGACCGUGACAUAUUUUGCCGUUUUCUCUAGGGAACCCUGCAACAAGGACUGUAGUGUGAAUAGCGUGCUGCGCUGCUCUCGCCAACUGAAAAGAACUCUGGUGUGCUGUAAAUGCCGACUGCACAAUAUAUGUGACUGGCCCGCGGCCGCUUUGAAGGUAAGAUUGUGUUCUCAUUAAUCUAUUUAUUGUACCAUUUGCUU